This 465-nucleotide ribosomal RNA is filed under the name Triticum aestivum (bread wheat). Its description in RNAcentral is "partial small subunit ribosomal RNA". Lineage: Eukaryota; Viridiplantae; Streptophyta; Magnoliopsida; Poales; Poaceae. The record is from RNAcentral.
AUGUUCCCUGGAUCGGUGGCUUGUGAAAUCUGGUUGGAUCGGAUAGGUGUUAAUUAUAUUAAAAAAUGUAAUUGUCGAACCAGGUGUAUACCAUGUUCUCGGGAUUGGUGGUAUGUUCCUUUGGGGAGACAAACUAAAAAAACUAUUAAUUGGUCGAGCCAGGUGUAUACCAUGUUCUCGGGAUCGGUGGUAUGUUCCUUUGGUGAGACUGAUAAAAUAUUAUCAUUACUUCCUUCAAAUUUAAUAAGUGGAUUUAAUUCAAGCUCCUUUUGUUCUCAGGAUCAUGCUCUCUUUAGGAACCUUUUGGCACAGUCAGCAUUUGAACUUGCUAAUCUUCGUUUAUCAUUGCAAAAGUUUAAAAUGGUCGAGUUUACUAGUGUCCUAUUGAUAUGUAGAAACUCUCAACCAUUAAUUUUCACUAGCAAAGUCCAAAGCAUGCACUGUUUAGAGAUCUACUUCACUUGA